GACCUGGCCGGGCGGUCCUCCUCACGGUGCGUACUGUCUGGCCGGGCCUUACCUCUUGGUGAGCCGGCAUGCCCUUUACUGGGUGUGUCGGGGAACCAGGACUUUUACCUUGAGAAAAUUAGAGUGUUUAAAGCAGGCUAACGCUUGAAUACAUUAGCAUGGAAUAAUGAAAUAGGACGU
Molecule: ribosomal RNA, 180 nt
Filed under: uncultured Glomeromycotina
Lineage: Eukaryota; Fungi; Glomeromycota
Description: partial small subunit ribosomal RNA
Source: RNAcentral